GUACUCAUCCUGGGAGCAUACAUACUAAAAUUGAAACAAUACAGAAGUUACUUAGCAUGGGCCCUCGCACAAGGAUGACACACAGAUCUAUGAAGCAUUCCAUAUUAAA
Grammomys surdaster is the source of this 109-nucleotide small nuclear RNA. The record is from RefSeq and is a predicted model, not a curated record. Lineage: Eukaryota; Metazoa; Chordata; Mammalia; Rodentia; Muridae.